Molecule: ribosomal RNA, 464 nt
Filed under: uncultured bacterium
Lineage: Bacteria
Description: SSU rRNA
Rfam family: Bacterial small subunit ribosomal RNA
Source: RNAcentral
AGGAUUAACGCUGGCGGCGUGCCUAACACAUGCAAGUCGAACGAGGUAGCAAUACCUAGUGGCAGACGGGUGAGUAACGCGUGGUCAACCUACCGUUGAGUGGGGGAUAACUAGCCGAAAGGUUAGCUAAUACCGCAUACGAGUCUCGGGGGCAUCCCUGGGCCUUAAAAGGAGCAAUCCGCUCGAUGACGGGACCGCGUCCCAUUAGCUAGAUGGUGGGGUAACGGCCUACCAUGGCACCGAUGGGUAGCUGGUUUGAGAGAGCGACCAGCCACACUGGGACUGAGAAACGGCCCAGACUCCUACGGGAGGCAGCAGUGAGGAAUUUUCCGCAAUGGGCGAAAGCCUGACGGAGCGACGCCGCGUGUGGGAAGAAGGCCUUCGGGUCGGUAAACCACUGUCGAAGGGGACGAUAAUGACGGUACCCUUGGAGGAAGCCCGGCUAACUACGUGCCAGCAGCCGC